UACAGAGGCCACAAGCAUUAGUCGGAAUCACUGGGCUUAAAGGGUGCGUAGGUUGUCCAUCAAGUGCUUUGUGAAAUCCCACGGCUCAACCGUGGAACAGCAGGGCAUACUGAUGGACUUGAGGCAAGUAGGGGCUGACGGAACAGUAGGUGGAGCGGUGAAAUGCGUAGAUAUCUACUGGAACGCCGAUGGUGAAGACGGUCAGCUGGGCUUGUCCUGACACUGAGGCACGAAAGCGUGGGGAGCAAACAGG
RNAcentral lists this ribosomal RNA (253 nucleotides) under uncultured bacterium. RNAcentral describes it as "partial 16S ribosomal RNA". It matches the Rfam family "Bacterial small subunit ribosomal RNA", at positions 524 to 776 of the family's 1533-position model. The record is from RNAcentral.